GACGAACGCUGGCGGCGUGCUUAACACAUGCAAGUCGAACGGAAAGGCCCUGCUGCUGUGUGGUGCUCUAGUGGCGAACGGGUGAGUAACACGUGAGUAACCUGCCCUUGACUUUGGGAUAACUUCAGGAAACUGGGGCUAAUACCGGAUAGGAGCUCCUGCUGCAUGGUGGGGGUUGGAAUGUUUCGGCGGUUGGGGAUGGACUCGCGGCUUAUCAGCUUGUUGGUGGGGUAUUGGCUUACCAAGGCUUUGCCGGGUCUCCGGCCUGGGAGGGUGACCGGCCACAUUGGGACUGAGAGACGGCCCAGACUCCUACGGGAGGCAGCAGUGGGAAAUAUUACACAAUGGGCGGAAGCCUGAUGCAGCAGCGCCGCGUGCGGGAUGACGGCCUUCGGGUUGUAAACCGCUUACGCCUGUGACGAAGCGUGAGUGACGGUAAUGGGUAAAGAAGCACCGGCUAACUACGUG
Molecule: ribosomal RNA, 468 nt
Filed under: uncultured bacterium
Lineage: Bacteria
Description: partial 16S ribosomal RNA
Rfam family: Bacterial small subunit ribosomal RNA
Source: RNAcentral